CUCGUAGGCGGCUUGGUAAGUCGGAUGUGAAACCUCCAGGCUCAACCUGGAGUCGCCAUCCGAUACUGCCAUGGCUAGAGUCCGGUAGGGGCCCACGGAACUCCUGGUGUAGCGGUGAAAUGCGCAGAUAUCAGGAAGAACACCGGUGGCGAAGGCGGUGGGCUGGGCCGGAACUGACGCUGAGGAGCGAAAGCGUGGGAGCGAACAGGAUUAGAUACCCUGGUAGUCCACGCCGUAAACGUUGGGCACUAGGUGUGGGGCCUUAUCAACGGGCUCCGUGCCGUAGCUAACGCAUUAAGUGCCCCGCCUGGGGAGUACGGGCCGCAAGGCUAAA
This 334-nucleotide ribosomal RNA is filed under the name uncultured bacterium. RNAcentral's name for it is "bacterial SSU rRNA". It matches the Rfam family "Bacterial small subunit ribosomal RNA", at positions 568 to 898 of the family's 1533-position model. The record is from RNAcentral.